RNAcentral lists this ribosomal RNA (249 nucleotides) under uncultured bacterium. Its description in RNAcentral is "partial 16S ribosomal RNA". It matches the Rfam family "Bacterial small subunit ribosomal RNA", at positions 523 to 769 of the family's 1533-position model. The record is from RNAcentral.
AUACGGAGGGUCCGAGCGUUAUCCGGAUUUAUUGGGUUUAAAGGGUGCGUAGGCGUUUUAGGGGUAAUCAGCGGUGAAAUUUUCCGGCUCAACCGGGAUACUGCCGUUGAUACUGUAAGGCUAGGAUAUGGUUGCUGUGGGUGGAAUGUGUGGUGUAGCGGUGAAAUGCUUAGAGAUCACACAGAAUAUCGAUUGCGAAGGCAGCUCACAAAGCCAUUAUUGACGCUGAGGCACGAAAGUGUGGGGAUC